GAGCGAGCGCAAGUUAUUCUUGAUAAGAGACUGAGCGGCGGACGGGUGAGUAACGCGUGGGUACCUGCCUCAUACAGGGGGAUAACAGUUAGAAAUGGCUGCUAAUACCGCAUAAGACUGCAUGGUAAAAACUCCGGCGGUAUGAGAUGGACCCGCGUCUGAUUAGGUAGUUGGUGAGGUAACGGCCCACCAAGCCGACGAUCAGUAGCCGACCUGAAGGGUGACCGGCCACAUUGGGACUGAGACACGGCCCAGACUCCUACGGGAGGCAGCAGUGGGGAAUAUUGCACAAUGGGCGAAAGCCUGAUGCAGCGACGCCGCGUGAAGGAUGAAGUAUUUCGGUAUGUAAACUUCUAUCAGCAGGGAAGAAAAUGACGGUACCUGACUAAGAAGCCCCGGCUAACUACGUGCCAGCAGCCGCGGUAAUACGUAGGGGGCAAGCGUUAUCCGGAUUUACUGGGUGUAAAGGGAGCGUAGACGGCUGUGCAAGUCUGAAGUGAAAGGCAUGGGCUCAACCUGUGGACUGCUUUGGAAACUGUGCAGCUAGAGUGUCGGAGAGGUAAGUGGAAUUCCUAGUGUAGCGGUGAAAUGCGUAGAUAUUAGGAGGA
Molecule: ribosomal RNA, 608 nt
Filed under: uncultured bacterium
Lineage: Bacteria
Description: bacterial SSU rRNA
Rfam family: Bacterial small subunit ribosomal RNA
Source: RNAcentral